AUGAGUUAAGUAUAAACCCCUUUACAAGUAUCAAUUGGAGGGCAAGUCUGGUGCCAGCAGCCGCGGUAAUUCCAGCUCCAAUAGCGUAUAUUAAAGUUGUUGCAGUUAAAAAGCUCGUAGUUGGAUUUCUGUUAAUAAUUUAUAUAUAAUAUUUUAACGAUAUUUAUAUAAUAUUAACAUAAUUCACAUUACUAUUAUUAGUAUGUGAAAUUUUACUUUGAGAAAAUUAGAGUGCUUAAAGCAGGCAUUUGCCUUGAAUACUCCAGCAUGGAAUAAUAUAAAAGAUUUUUAUCUUUUUUAUUGGUUCUAAGAUAAAAAUAAUGAUUAAUAGGGACAGUUGGGGGCAUUUGUAUUUAACAGUCAGAGGUGAAAUUCUUAGAUUUGUUAAAGACAAACUAAUGCGAAAGCAUUUGCCAAGGAUGUUUUCAUUAAUCAAGAACGAAAGUUAGGGGAUCGAAGACGAUCAGAUACCGUCGUAGU
This 480-nucleotide ribosomal RNA is filed under the name Cryptosporidium sp. vole genotype III. RNAcentral describes it as "SSU rRNA". It matches the Rfam family "Eukaryotic small subunit ribosomal RNA", at positions 514 to 1024 of the family's 1831-position model. Lineage: Eukaryota; Apicomplexa; Conoidasida; Eucoccidiorida; Cryptosporidiidae. The record is from RNAcentral.